Molecule: ribosomal RNA, 305 nt
Filed under: uncultured bacterium
Lineage: Bacteria
Description: bacterial SSU rRNA
Rfam family: Bacterial small subunit ribosomal RNA
Source: RNAcentral
CGUUCCCUACGGGACGCAGCAGUAGGGAAUCUUCCACAAUGGGCGAAAGCCUGAUGGAGCAACGCCGCGUGGGUGAAGAAGGUCUUCGGAUCGUAAAACCCUGUUGUUAGAGAAGAAAGUGCGUGAGAGUAACUGUUCACGUUUCGACGGUAUCUAACCAGAAAGCCACAGCUAACUACGUGCCAGCAGCCGCGGUAAUACGUAGGUGGCAAGCGUUAUCCGGAUUUAUUGGGCGUAAAGGGAACGCAGGCGGUCUUUUAAGUCUGAUGUGAAAGCCUUCGGCUUAACCGGAGUGGUGCAUUGUG